Non-coding RNA from Xyrichtys novacula (pearly razorfish), 609 nucleotides. NCBI's taxonomy places the organism in Eukaryota, Metazoa, Chordata, Actinopteri, Labriformes, Labridae. The record is from the annotation of a GenBank genome assembly.
AUCAUAUUCGGGAUUUAAAGUCUUAACCAUAGACUGUAUCUAGAAUAGACACCGUCUGCCUCCUCUCUGUGAGAACAGCGCCCUCUGGUGACGGGCUGCAGUAUAGGUCCUAAACCCCGCCUCCUUAUGGAGCUGUGGACAAACUUUAUAAAUGAAUGACACAGAAUAUAAAUGUUUCUCCCCCCUGGUUGUGAUGUUGACAUGUAGUUACUGUCAGACUGGUUUGUGCUCAAGUCCUCUUUUUUCUGUACAGCUCCAUUUUUAAAAGUUAUUAGGGGGUUCAUGUUUUCUAUGAUUGACACCUGAUACAGCCUAUGGGAGGACAGAGAUUGAGUAGAUCACCGGGGGAUACGCUGUUUGAGCCGACUCUCCCGCCGAAUGCGUACAACACUACUGCGCAAUGUUGGUUUCAGGAAGUGGAUAAAAAAACACGGAAUUACUGAGAACUUUUCGGCUUCAAAACCGUAUAGUGGAGGAAGGAGGAACCAAGUUGUCUUUAGUAAAUACAGUCUAUGGUGGUGACGCUCUGGAGGAUGUAGAACAUUUUAGAGAAUAUCACCGAACAUUCCGUAACAUCAAAGACAUUCUAAAAGAUCAACAACAUUCCGG